RNAcentral lists this ribosomal RNA (253 nucleotides) under uncultured bacterium. Its description in RNAcentral is "partial 16S ribosomal RNA". It matches the Rfam family "Bacterial small subunit ribosomal RNA", at positions 524 to 776 of the family's 1533-position model. The record is from RNAcentral.
UACGUAGGGUGCGAGCGUUGUCCGGAAUUAUUGGGCGUAAAGAGCUCGUAGGCGGCCUGUUGCGUCGGUUGUGAAAGCCCGGGGCUUAACCCCGGGUCUGCAGUCGAUACGGGCAGGCUAGAGUUCGGUAGGGGAGAUCGGAAUUCCUGGUGUAGCGGUGAAAUGCGCAGAUAUCAGGAGGAACACCGGUGGCGAAGGCGGAUCUCUGGGCCGAUACUGACGCUGAGGAGCGAGAGCGUGGGGAGCGAACAGG